ACCGCUCAUCCCUGGACACAACGCAACACAGUGUCGAGGGGGGAUCGUGAGGCGAGAGCCUGCCGGAGACUCGGUCCUCGACCGAUCGUCGUGGUGUUCGCAUCGGCAGAUCAGAAGGAAAACCAAAAGAAUAUAAGACCGAGAGCUCUUGGAGCCGCCGUCGAUCUAGUCGGAGGCCUCCUCGACGAUGCUCUCGAGCCGCGGCCUCCACACGCCGACGCGGGCGCCGCUGCGCCGCCUCCGGUGACCGCCGCCCGACGCGGCCUUUUCGGAGAGCAGCUCCCUCAGGUAGUUGUCCUGCUCCGCCGUGCCACCGGCGCUCUGCUUCUUGGCGUGGUGGCGGAGGCGGCUCUGGCUCUGGCUCUGGCUCUGGCUCGGCCGCUUGCUGCUCUGCUUCUUGCUCCUCCGGUCGGCGGGCAGGGUCGCGGACGGGAUGAGGAAGUAGAUGCGGCCGCGCUUGAGGUCGGAGUCGGGCGACACGAUGGCGAGCUUCCGGGAGCCGCACCCUGGCGCGCCGGAGGGGGACCACGCCGUGGUGAGCGUGUGGGCGGGGUUCGCGGCGAGCACGGUUGCCGCGGCCACCGGGCAGCUGAACUCGUCGACGCGCCCGCUGAGGUGCACGACGCGGACCACGUCCAGGGCGCCGCAGGGGACCAUGCAGGCCAGGCAGCACCGCAAGCUGUUGCCCAUGACGCUGUCGUCUUCGUCGUCGGUGGUGGACGUGGGGGCUUCUUGAUUGGUUUGCUGCUCCUGCUAGGCGCUAGCUGAUUGAUUGCAACUGGUGGGGAUGAGUCCUGAUGGGUGGGAGUGCCGGAGGCCAGCUGCUCGCAUGGUAUAUAUAGCGCGCCAAGUGGGAGUGGACCCUGGGGGAGGGGGGUUGUGAUUGUGCCGUGCUGGCAUCUUUUAAAGUCAUAGCUAUCUCGCUGGCUUGGGGAUUGGAUAAUGGUAAGGGUCCACUCAAAUUCAUGUGGAUUGGAGGGAAUUUGUAGGUUUAAAUUCAUAGCAAGUUAAUAUAUGUUUUUUUCAAUUCUAUUGAAUUCAUGUGGCGUAGAAAUAAACGAAUAAAG
RNAcentral lists this unclassified non-coding RNA (1067 nucleotides) under Zea mays. Its description in RNAcentral is "misc RNA Zm00001eb368610". The record is from RNAcentral. Lineage: Eukaryota; Viridiplantae; Streptophyta; Magnoliopsida; Poales; Poaceae.